Molecule: ribosomal RNA, 460 nt
Filed under: uncultured bacterium
Lineage: Bacteria
Description: partial 16S ribosomal RNA
Rfam family: Bacterial small subunit ribosomal RNA
Source: RNAcentral
CCUACGGGAGGCAGCAGUGAGGAAUAUUGGUCAAUGGGCGCGAGCCUGAACCAGCCAAGUAGCGUGAAGGAUGACUGCCCUACGGGUUGUAAACUUCUUUUAUAAAGGAGUAAAGUGAGGCACGUGUGCCUUUUUGUAUGUACUUUAUGAAUAAGGAUCGGCUAACUCCGUGCCAGCAGCCGGGGUAAUACGGGGGAUGCAAGCGUUAUCCGGAUUUAUUGGGUUGAAAGGGAGCGUAGAUGGGUUGUUAAGUCAGUUGUGAAAGUUUGCGGCUCAACCGUAAAAUUGCAAUUGAUACUGGCAGUCGUGAGUACAGUGGAGGUAGGCGGAAUUCGUGGUGUAGCGGUGAAAUGCUUAGAUAUCACGAAGAACCCCGAUUGCGAAGGUAGCUUACUAAACUGUGACUGACAUUGAUGCUCGAAAGUGUGGGUAUCAAACAGGAUUAGAUACCCGGGUAGUC